Molecule: ribosomal RNA, 460 nt
Filed under: uncultured bacterium
Lineage: Bacteria
Description: partial 16S ribosomal RNA
Rfam family: Bacterial small subunit ribosomal RNA
Source: RNAcentral
CCUACGGGUGGCAGCAGUGAGGAAUAUUGGUCAAUGGCCGGAAGGCUGAACCAGCCAUGCCGCGUGAAGGUCAGUGCCCUAUGGGCGUUAAACUUCUUUUGUGCGGGAGCAAUAAUGGUCACGUGUGGCCAGACGAGAGUACCGUACGAAUAAGCAUCGGCUAACUCCGUGCCAGCAGCGGCGGUAAUACGGGGGAGGCAAGCGUUAUCGGGAUUUAGUGGGUUUAAAGGGUGCGUAGGCUGGGAGGUAAGUCAGAGGUGAAAAGCCCCGGCUCAACGGGGUGAAGUGCCAUUGAUACUGGCAUGCUGGAGUGCGGAUGCGGUGGGAGGAAUGUGUGGUGUAGCGGUGAAAUGCAUAGAGAUCACACAGAACACCGAUUGCGAAGGCAUCUCACGAAUCCGCGAUUGACGCUGAUGCACGAAAGCGUGGGUAGCAAACAGGAUUAGAUACCCCUGUAGUC